Molecule: ribosomal RNA, 445 nt
Filed under: uncultured bacterium
Lineage: Bacteria
Description: partial 16S ribosomal RNA
Rfam family: Bacterial small subunit ribosomal RNA
Source: RNAcentral
GUGAGGAAUAUUGGUCAAUGGGCGAGAGCCUGAACCAGCCAAGUCGCGUGAAGGAUGAAGGUUUUAUGAAUUGUAAACUUCUUUUGCAGGGGAAUAAAGUACGGUACGUGUACCGUUUUGUAUGUACUCUGCGAAUAAGGAUCGGCUAACUCCGUGCCAGCAGCCGCGGUAAUACGGAGGAUCCAAGCGUUAUCCGGAUUUAUUGGGUUUAAAGGGUGCGCAGGCGGGUUGAUAAGUCAGCGGUGAAAGUUUGCAGCUUAACUGUAAAAUUGCCAUUGAAACUGUCAGUCUUGAGUGCAAAUGAGGUAGGCGGAAUGUGUUGUGUAGCGGUGAAAUGCUUAGAUAUAACACAGAACUCCGAUUGCGAAGGCAGCUUACUGGGAUGCAACUGACACUGAUGCACGAAAGCGUGGGUAUCAAACAGGAUUAGAAACCCUGGUAGUCC